GCGGAGGAUCAUUAUCGUACAAUCGAGGUGCGAGGGCUGUCGCUGACCCUUCAAAAGGUCGUGCACGCCCGAGCACUCUCACACAAUCCAUCACACACCCCCUUUGUGCAUCACCGCGUGGGUCCCCCCUUUGCGGGGAGGGCCCGCGUUUUCACAUUAAACUUGAUACAGUGUAGAAUGUUUAUUUUUGCGAACACACACGCAAUCAAUACAACUUUCAACAACGGAUCUCUUGGCUCUCGCAUCGAUGAAGAACGCAGCGAAAUGCGAUACGUAAUGUGAAUUGCAGAAUUCAGUGAAUCAUCGAAUCUUUGAACGCACCUUGCGCCCCUUGGUAUUCCGAAGGGCACACCCGUUUGAGUGUCGUGAAAUCUUCAAAACCUCUUUUCUUUGAUCCAUUCUGAUCCGGAAAAGAGAUUUUGGACUUGGAGGUUCAAUGCUUGCCUUUGAUUUUGAAAGUGAGCUCCUCUCAAAUAAAUUAGUGGGGUCCACUUUGCCGGUCCUUGACGUGAUAAGAUGUUUCUACGUUUUGGAUUUGGCACUGUCCCUCGGAUCCCCGCUUCUAAUCGUCCCAUGGACAACGAUGGUGUCCCGGUCCCUGCCAACCUACAUUGGCGGGGGGCUUGGCCCACAAAAAAGAACCUUGACCUCAAAUCGGGUGAGACUACCCGCUGAACUUAAAGCAUAUCAAUAA
RNAcentral lists this ribosomal RNA (694 nucleotides) under uncultured fungus. Its description in RNAcentral is "eukaryotic LSU rRNA". The stretch from base 213 to 366 matches the Rfam family "5.8S ribosomal RNA". The record is from RNAcentral. Lineage: Eukaryota; Fungi.